RNAcentral lists this ribosomal RNA (615 nucleotides) under Curculionidae sp. CUM1. Its description in RNAcentral is "partial 16S ribosomal RNA". It matches the Rfam family "Bacterial large subunit ribosomal RNA", at positions 1839 to 2757 of the family's 2925-position model. Lineage: Eukaryota; Metazoa; Arthropoda; Insecta; Coleoptera; Curculionidae. The record is from RNAcentral.
UUUGAUUUAAGGUCUGACCUGCCCAAUGAGUUUUUGAAUGGCCGCGGUAUUUUGACCGUGCAAAGGUAGCAUAAUCAUUAGUUUUUUAAUUGAAAGCUGGAAUGAAGGGUUGGAUGAGAAAAUAACUGUCUCUAUUUAAAUUUUUUAGAAUUUUAUUUUUAAGUAAAAAAGCUUAAAUUUUGUUAGAAGACGAGAAGACCCUAUAGAGUUUUAUUAAUUUUUUUUUAUUGGAUUUUUAGUAUUUAAUUUUUCUUAAGAAAAAUUAAUUUGAUUGGGGUGAUAGAAAAAUUUGAUAAACUUUUUUUUUAUUUAUACAUUUAUUUAUGAGUAUUUGAUCCUUUUUAUAAAGAUUAGAAGAUAAAAUUACCUUAGGGAUAACAGCGUAAUUUUCUUAGAGAGUUCAAAUCGAAAAGAAAGAUUGCGACCUCGAUGUUGGAUUAAAAUAAAAUUUUGGUGUAGAAGCUAAAGUAUUUAGGUCUGUUCGACCUUUAAAAUUUUACAUGAUCUGAGUUUAAACCGGUGUGAGCCAGGUUGGUUUCUAUCUCUAUUGAAAAUAAAUAUCUUAGUACGAAAGGACCAGAUAUUUAAUUUAAAAUUUUAUUAUAGAAUAAUAUU